GACGAACGCUGGCGGCGUGCCUAAUACAUGCAAGUCGAACGAGAGCGACCGGUGCUUGCACUGGUCAAUCUAGUGGCGAACGGGUGAGUAACACGUGGGUAACCUGCCCAUCAGAGGGGGAUAACAUCCGGAAACGGAUGCUAAAACCGCAUAGGUCUUCGAACCGCAUGGUUUGAAGAGGAAAAGAGGCGCAAGCUUCUGCUGAUGGAUGGACCCGCGGUGCAUUAGCUAGUUGGUGAGGUAACGGCUCACCAAGGCCGUGAUGCAUAGCCGACCUGAGAGGGUGAUCGGCCACAUUGGGACUGAGACACGGCCCAAACUCCUACGGGAGGCAGCAGUAGGGAAUCUUCCGCAAUGGACGCAAGUCUGACGGAGCAACGCCGCGUGAGUGAAGAAAGUUUUCGGAUCGUAAAACUCUGUUGUUAGAGAAGAACAAGUGCUAGAGUAACUGUUAGCGCCUUGACGGUAUCUAACCAGAAAGCCACGGCUAACUACGUG
Molecule: ribosomal RNA, 498 nt
Filed under: uncultured bacterium
Lineage: Bacteria
Description: partial 16S ribosomal RNA
Rfam family: Bacterial small subunit ribosomal RNA
Source: RNAcentral